CUUGGGUCAUUUAGAGGAAGUAAAAGUCGCAACAAGGUUUCCGUAGGUGAACCUGCGGAAGGAUCAUUAAAGAAUUGCCCCAUUUUUUGAAAUGGGUUCUAUUCCCAAACCGUGUAUACAUACCUUUGUUGCUUUGGCAAGCCGUCCUUCGGGCGCAGCUUCGGCUGAGAGCGCUUGCCAGAGGACCCCAACUCUUUUGUUUAGUGAUGUCUGAGUACUAUAUAAUAGUUAAAACUUUCAACAACGGAUCUCUUGGUUCUGGCAUCGAUGAAGAACGCAGCGAAAUGCGAUAAGUAAUGUGAAUUGCAGAAUUCAGUGAAUCAUCGAAUCUUUGAACGCACAUUGCGCCCCUUGGUAUUCCGAGGGGCAUGCCUGUUCGAGCGUCAUUAUGACCACUCAAGCCUAGCUUGGUAUUGGGGUUCGCGGUCUCGCGGCUCUUAAAAUCAGUGGCGGUGCCAUCUGGCUCUAAGCGUAGUAAUUCUCUCGCUAUAGGGCUCCGGUAGUCGCUUGCCAAAACCCCCCUAUUUCUCACGGUUGACCUCGGAUCAGGUAGGGAUACCCGCUGAACUUAAGCAUAUCAAUAAGCGGAGGA
This 592-nucleotide ribosomal RNA is filed under the name uncultured Rhizoscyphus. Its description in RNAcentral is "eukaryotic LSU rRNA". The stretch from base 233 to 386 matches the Rfam family "5.8S ribosomal RNA". The record is from RNAcentral. Lineage: Eukaryota; Fungi; Ascomycota; Leotiomycetes; Helotiales; Helotiaceae.